GAUGAAGAACGUAGCGAAAUGCGAUACUUGGUGUGAAUUGCAGAAUCCCGUGAACCAUCGAGUCUUUGAACGCAAGUUGCGCCUCAAGCCAUUAGGUUGAGGGCACGUCUGCCUGGGCGUCACAUAUCGUUGCCUGAUGCCAGUUUCCUCGUGAUGGGUGACUGUGCAGGGCGAAUGAUGGCUUCCCGUGAGCACUGUUGCCUCAUGGUUGGUUGAAAAUUGAGUCCUUGGUAGGGAGCGCCGUGAUAGAUGGUGGUUGAGUGACGAACGAGACCCAAACAUGUGAGACCCCUACCGAAUUUGGCCUUCAUGACCCACAUGCGUCUUUGGAACGCUCAUGACGAGACCUCAGGUCAGGCGGGGCUACCCGCUGAGUUUAAGCAUAUCAAUAAGCGGAGGA
This 400-nucleotide unclassified non-coding RNA is filed under the name soil metagenome. Its description in RNAcentral is "partial contains 5.8S ribosomal RNA, internal transcribed spacer 2, and large subunit ribosomal RNA". The stretch from base 1 to 122 matches the Rfam family "5.8S ribosomal RNA", at positions 35 to 154 of the family's 154-position model. The record is from RNAcentral.